RNAcentral lists this ribosomal RNA (433 nucleotides) under uncultured bacterium. RNAcentral's name for it is "partial 16S ribosomal RNA". It matches the Rfam family "Bacterial small subunit ribosomal RNA", at positions 29 to 507 of the family's 1533-position model. The record is from RNAcentral.
AACGAACGCUGGCGGCAUGCCUAACACAUGCAAGUCGAACGAGACCUUCGGGUCUAGUGGCGCACGGGUGCGUAACGCGUGGGAACCUGCCCUUAGGUUCGGAAUAACUCCCCGAAAGGGGUGCUAAUACCGGAUAAUGUCUUCGGACCAAAGAUUUAUCGCCUUUGGAUGGGCCCGCGUUGGAUUAGCUAGUUGGUAGGGUAAAAGCCUACCAAGGCGACGAUCCAUAGCUGGUCUGAGAGGAUGAUCAGCCACACUGGGACUGAGACACGGCCCAGACUCCUACGGGAGGCAGCAGGGGGGAAUAUUGGACAAUGGGCGAAAGCCUGAUCCAGCAAUGCCGCGUGGGUGAAGAAGGGCUUAGGGUUGUAAAGCUCUUUUAACCGGGAUGAAAAUGACAGUACCGGGAGGAUAAGCUCCGGCUAACUCCGUG